RNAcentral lists this long non-coding RNA (3328 nucleotides) under Panax ginseng (ginseng). Its description in RNAcentral is "long non-coding RNA (PGIN_LNC018111)". The record is from RNAcentral. Lineage: Eukaryota; Viridiplantae; Streptophyta; Magnoliopsida; Apiales; Araliaceae.
UACCAAAGUAAAAAAAAGCAACGUGAAAACUGAGAGGGAAAAAACACGCGGGUCAAAACGUUUCGGGUUAAAAACCCAUUGGAAAAUUUAUCUCAACCAUUCGCGAUUCUCGUAUUCUCAGAGCCAUGUCUCAACCAUUCGCGAAUCGCGAAUUCUCAAAACCUCUUUCCCCGAUUCUCUCUCAAAGUCCCUUUCCCCGAUUCUCAUUCAAAGCGCAAAAGCUGAAGCUCUGGUUUGGAAAUCGCCGGACAUCGACUAGAACAGAACUUUCAAUCGCUGGUUUGAAGCUAGGGUUUUCAAAUCGUAAGGUCAGUGAGGUUCUCUCUCCUAAAGCUUAAGGUCCUUCAACUAUAAUCAGUAGGAUGAUUUGCAUAUGCGUUUGGCACAAAUUUCUGUUAUCACCAAACUUUGCUUUUUGGGAUAUUUGUUUAAUUGGAGUUAUUUUUGAAAUUGGGUGUAUUUUCGAGUCAUCCUAAUUUGGUCUGCCUACUUAUUUUGCUUCAUUUCUUCAUCUUCUCCAUUAAAGAGAAAAAGGAAAUGUGAGUGCGAAGUUCAUCAUAGAAGCAGCAAAUAAUCCUACUAAUCCUGAAGUAGACGAGGUAACACUGCUUCCAAGUUAUUUCAGUACUUCUAAGUCUAAAUUGUAGUGAUUUGAAGGAAAAAAUAUCAGUUAUAUAAAAGAAAUUUAUGUGUGUUGUAAUAAAUUAAGGAGUUAUAGUACUGCCAUAUAUAUAUAUAUAUAUAUAUAUAUAUAUAUAUAUAUAUAUAUAUAUAUAUAUAUAUAUNNNNNNNNNNNNNNNNNNNNNNNNNNNNNNNNNNNNNNNNNNNNNNNNNNNNNNNNNNNNNNNNNNNNNNNNNNNNNNNNNNNNNNNNNNNNNNNNNNNNUGGAGGUGUGACUGUCAGCUAUUUUGAGUGGGUUCAGCGAACAUAUAUCACAAAAGCAACUGAUAUUUCUUUGUUUAUUUUUCUCUAUGAAAUCAUUUCAAUAGUUAUUAGUUCAAUUUUGACUCCUGAGAUCUUCUAAUGUGAUUCUUGGUCAUUAGAAAACGUUUCCCCCUUAAAAUUGGAUUGUGAACAAAUUGUGUAGAUACUCCUUUGUUAACACUUGGAAAAAGGUCAGAAUGUAGGAAAUUAAGUAAAUGUGAUUUUUUUUUUCCUUUCCAAGUUAUGAAGGUUUGAUUUACUUGAGUUUUUGGGUAAAUGAAAAUUGAUCUUAUUUGCAUUCUGAAGUUGGGUGCACACUUCUUAUUAUGUGUUGAACCGUGAUGGGAAUCUUCUGUCCUUGGAAACUUAACAUGGAGCCAUAAGUUAUAAUCUGUGUUAACUUGUAUGAGUAUGUUUUUGGGAGAAAAUACCAGUUCUUCUCUAAUAAAGCAAGUAAACAGUAGAGCUAGGCAUUACAAAUAUCCAACCAUAAUAGAAGCCAACAAUUACAAAUUAACAAUCAUCACAAGUAGUGCUAGCCAGCCAUUACAAAUAUCCAACCAGCCAAGAAUAACAAAUUAACAACCAUUUUAAAAAAAUAAACAACAACAGCAGCAGCAAAACAUCAACCUUUGCACACUAGAUAUGGUAUCGUACAAGACGUACUAGAGUCGUUUAAAACAAAGGCAAUUGGCACAAGUUAUUAGUUAGUUAUUACUUUAUAUGCCUUCUGACCUGAUGAUCUCUUGAACCACAAUGUGGAGCAAAGUGGUCUUCUCAUUCGUUCCCUUUAUAUCUAUUAAUUUCAACAGUGUAUCAAGUUUGAAAGCUCUUGCAUCACCACGAUUAGUGCCAACGUUCAUGCGGUUUUCUGUCCUCAGAACUGCUUCAAGCAGUUUGAGUUUGAGGAAUAACCGACUGUUCUUAAAUUCUUCACUUACUGCCUGAUCAUAUUGGUGAUAGUUUUAGAAUUUUUCAUUUCUUCAAUUUUUUUUUACUGAUAAUGUGAAUCCCUUGCUAUUUUUACUUGAUUAUAAGAAUUCAUUAUUCGGUUGAUGCUAAAUUUUUAAUUUUUUUCUUAUUGUUAUACUUUUUGAAAAUUGAACUAUUUUUAAGGUCACAUUCUUAUUGUUAUGUAUGCGUUGUAUAAUUUGUAGUUUACAAUAAAUAUUAUAUAUGAUUUAUCUAAUGAAAAUGGUUUUCUUUUAUAUGGCCUAGUUUUCAUUCUCUUUGAAAAUUACAGGCAAAUAGUUAAAAGUCAUCCAUGGACAAAAGAAUGAUACUUGUAUAAACUCCAAAUUGACUUCUCAAGAUCGAGGUAAAAUAGUAAAGUUCUUGCAAAUUAACCUAUUUUUUUGCCAUGUUGAGCAGGUAGAAGAAACUCAGUUAUAGUAUAACGAGAAGGGUUCAAUGAAUUGUACAUUUUUCAGUCCUGGCUCAACUCAUAAAUGGUACGGCAAGUAUGCGUAUAUAUGCAUUGGACACUCUGCUUUGCUUAACUCUGGCUCCAAAAAGUGAAUGGAGAGCGGCACAACAUCUACACAACCCGAAUACUUAGUUUUUUCACUAGCUGACAUUAGAGGAACAUCUUCAAAUAGGAUUAAAAGAUUUGGAUACAUGUUUGUAACAAAGCAAAAUUUAUGUGAAUGUAGAAUCUUCACUGCUCAUGUAUCCUAUUUGGAAACAAAAUAUAUCAAAUACAAAUUUUGCAAAUUAGUAUCAUGUUUGACAAUCCAAAAGAGACCAAACUACUCAUGUUUUUUUUUUUUUUGAAAUUUUACAGAUUAUUCAGCUCAUUGUGUUGAUUGAGACUUUAAAGAUUGUUGAAUGAGACCAAGCGAUUUGGACAUGGCAAUUGAAGAAUCGCUUGGUAAUAGUUUGAACAGACCAAGAAAUUUGGAAAUGACAAUUGAAGAAUAGUCCUCUGCUCAUAAGCCAUAUUUUUUUGCUGCAAACUUUUACAACUUCCUCAACGAUAAUGAUACUUCUUAUCUACAGGAAUCAACUACAGUUUACAACACUAAAAUUUGGAAACCCAUCAGAGAAGAUGAGCAACAGUUACUUCAAGUUAAACAACAAUCCAAAGACAAACAACCUACAUUUACAGGCACUCAACGUUACAGAUGUGAUGCGAAAAUAACAUUUGACCAAUUAAAUGGUAAAAAUCUGAAUCCAGCUAUAUAAACGGCCAUCGAUAUCUCCAAGACACCAACACAUAUCAAACACUUGGACAUCUGGAUCUCAUGAAAGAAAUAAGUAAACAACUCUACUGAAGCUAAUGUCUUCCUUUUCUCAGGCUCUGUCACUUCUACUCCUAUCCACCUGAACAGUCCUUGAAUCCAAUGUUGAUAAGAUCUGGGGCAUUGACAUUACACCGGACACAACAAUUUCUGCAAAAUCAAAA